Long non-coding RNA from Myotis lucifugus (little brown bat), 1957 nucleotides. RefSeq lists it as uncharacterized. Lineage: Eukaryota; Metazoa; Chordata; Mammalia; Chiroptera; Vespertilionidae. The record is from RefSeq and is a predicted model, not a curated record. The transcript is spliced from 2 exons.
UAAAAUAAAAUACCAUGGGGAAAAAGAAAAACAGGUUUGAAGGGAAGCUCUUUUCUCCUGAUCAGUCUCUUUGCCCACAGAGGCAGCUAAUUAAACCUGUGAAGAACACUUCAAGUAGGAUUUUUUAAUCUAGAAGCAUGGUUCCAAGUACCAGAAAUGAGAGGGCCUGGACAGACAGCCUCUACUUAGAGUUAGACACUGACUUCUCCCCAGCUUAUAAGGGGAAGACACCAGCUUAUGUAUGCAGCUAGGAGACCCACUGAUACAAAGGACUCUGGCCAAAGAAGUUGCCAAGUCUGGUAUAUGUGGCACAACCGAUUGUAACACCAUCAAACCCCAAUUUCCAAGGUACAUACAUACACACUAUUGCUCUGCAGCAAUUAUGCAGAAUCAAAAAAUUAUCAACUGAAAGGAAAUUAGUAAAGUAUUAUGGAAUGAGGUUAAGAAAAUUUCUUCAUUGAUGGUUGAUUUCCUCUAUCAGCCUUACUAUCUCACCCCCUGGAUGUUAACGAAAUCUUACAAUAAAAAGUUUAGAAAUGACAAAAUAAGAAAGCAAGAGAAAAGAAUAAUCACAGCAGUAAAAGGAAUAUGGUUAGAAUGGGGUUCUCUUAAGUCAUUCUGAUAGGCAAGAGACCAGGACAGGAGAGGUCACAAAAAUUAAAAACCCAUCUUCUCUAGACGACAGUAACUUAAUCCUCAAAGGUCCUUGGAAAUAGGGGAUGCUGCUGCAACCUAGAAACUAUGGUCCUCCCUCCUGAAGAUUUCUUCCCCAGGUUAGCUCUCUGAGGUUGUUUUUCCUCUUUCUCAGUCCUGUAGUCCCCCAAAUCGGUCAUUUCAAAGAAAGAGAAGUGAAUAUGCUAUUCAAGUGAUGCCACUUCUUAUCAUAUGACUCUCCCUCUCCCCUCACCCCACAGCCAACUCAAGCUAGUCUGGGUCAUAAGACAUUUUCCUGUGGGUGUCACUUCCUGAAUGGCAGGGCACAUCAGAAAACAUACACCCAUCUGCCUACAUUAAUUAAGUACUCAUAUUAGGAAUUGGCUAGGCACAUGUCUCCAACAAUAUUUGGUCAAUCACAAGGCCAGUUCCUUCAAGAGGCCUUGUGAGGAUUUGAGAGGGCUAGAAAAAUACAGAACUCUCUUCCUCCUUCAAAAAGAAUCAAUUUAUUCUUAAAGAUAAGUAAAUUUACUUAUCCACUGGAAAAAGUCAAAUGCAUAUAUUCGUAUCAUAAGUCAGAAUUACAUUCUUAUUCAAAGUGGCUAGCAAGAGGCCGAAGUUAACAAUCUUCCUCUCCAUCUCUGCUCCCUGGAAUCCUGGACUCUGAAUCACACAGCUCACCACGCAGAGGAUGACAGAACUGACUCUUAUUAAAUAACUGUGUAAUAAUAGGCCUAACUUUGAGAGCCUACCUGCAUCACUGCCUCCUGAAAUAAGACAACUGUUUAACUAAACUGACUUAUUUCCAAGUCUGAGAGACUGGUUCAAAAGAUGAUGCAAUCUACCAACUCAACUUCUUGAGCGUUUCAAAGGCAGGACUAAAGGGGAGCAGAUUAUACUACCCAAAAUGUGUCACUUUUGCGUGUGGAUUGUUUGAGCUGAAGGCAAGCAAGACCUGGCAGUCUCAGGAAAAAACUUUUACCUCCCUUUUAACUGCCUAAAAAAACUCAGAUAGGGGACCUGGCCCAGAAAGAGAGCUAUUACCAGAGAGAAUUUUUUUAGGACUUACCUACAUGGCAGGUAAAAUACCUGAUUAGCAAACACCUGCUCUUCUUAACUUCCCAGUGAAUCACCCUCCUCCCCUUUGAAGCUCCAGCCCAUAUCCCUCAGCUGAGACUGCAUAUAAAUCUCAAUUGCCUGACUGCCUUUGGAUCACAUAUGUUUAUGGGGCUCCCAUACCUUAGGAAAUCAAAUUUGUCUUUCUCAUGUUAAAAAAAUAAAUAAAAAUAAAGGUCAUCUCUCA